GCUCCUAUAGCUCAGUAGGUAGAGCAACUGAUUCGUAAUCAGUAGGUCACAGGUUCGACUCCUGCUGGGAGCACCA
Molecule: transfer RNA, 76 nt
Filed under: Clostridium luticellarii
Lineage: Bacteria; Bacillati; Bacillota; Clostridia; Eubacteriales; Clostridiaceae
Also listed under: 7 other names
Description: tRNA-Thr
Rfam family: tRNA
About the family: Transfer RNA (tRNA) molecules are approximately 80 nucleotides in length. Their secondary structure includes four short double-helical elements and three loops (D, anti-codon, and T loops).
Source: RNAcentral